UGAACGCUGGCGGCGUGCCUAAUACAUGCAAGUCGAGCGAACGGACGAGAAGCUUGCUUUUCUGAUGUUAGCGGCGGACGGGUGAGUAACAAGUGGAUAACCUACCUAUAAGACUGGGAUAACUUCGGGAAACCGGAGCUAAUACCGGAUAAUAUUUUGAACCGCAUGGUUCAAAAGUGAAAGACGGUCUUGCUGUCACUUAUAGAUGGAUCCGCGCUGCAUUAGCUAGUUGGUAAGGUAACGGCUUACCAAGGCAACGAUGCAUAGCCGACCUGAGAGGGUGAUCGGCCACACUGGAACUGAGACACGGUCCAGACUCCUACGGGAGGCAGCAGUAGGGAAUCUUCCGCAAUGGGCGAAAGCCUGACGGAGCAACGCCGCGUGAGUGAUGAAGGUCUUCGGAUCGUAAAACUCUGUUAUUAGGGAAGAACAUAUGUGUAAGUAACUGUGCACAUCUUGACGGUACCUAAUCAGAAAGCCACGGCUAACUACGUG
RNAcentral lists this ribosomal RNA (495 nucleotides) under uncultured bacterium. RNAcentral's name for it is "partial 16S ribosomal RNA". It matches the Rfam family "Bacterial small subunit ribosomal RNA", at positions 30 to 507 of the family's 1533-position model. The record is from RNAcentral.